AAGGCUUUAAGUUAAAUAAACUAAUAGCCUUCAAAGUUAUAAAUAAAGAAAUUACUCUUUAAGCCUUA
Molecule: transfer RNA, 68 nt
Filed under: Phyllocrania paradoxa
Lineage: Eukaryota; Metazoa; Arthropoda; Insecta; Mantodea; Hymenopodidae
Description: tRNA-Trp
Source: RNAcentral